AAAAAUGUUAGUUCUUUUCCACCACUGUUUACUCAUUCGUUUUACAACUGCUCAACUUUGUUCUGGUCCAGCAGGACUCUCUUGUACAAGCCCCAACAGCUCCAUGCCCAUCCCUGCCCAGGGUCCAGCCUUGUCUUAGUAAACAUUCAUCUCCCUGACUCAGGCUGCUGCUUAGAAAUUCUGUUUCGGUUGCAGUUCCAUUGUGUGGAGCCAGUACUACAACUUUUCCUCCUGCAUUCAUUUCUCUUCCUGCUGCCUUGUGAAGAAGGUGCCUUGCUUCCCCUUCACCUUCUACGGUGAUUGCAAGUUGCCUGAGGAUUCCCCAGCCAUGUGAAACUAGACUAUGUAAGAAACUGGUGAUAUAACAAGGAAACCAGAGAGACAAAGUGUCUGUUCUCAGGGAAUGGCUUGAACAUAUUAGGACUAAGUAACAUUUUUUCUUUAAGAUCCCAGUGUUCAGAAAAGGAAGAGAGGGAGCUUCCAUGGAGUCCAGAUGAUUUUCAAUCAUCGUGUCUCCUCCUGCACCCCUCAUGGCUGUAAAAUUGGUUAUGCUACUCAAGUUUUGGAACAGCUAAUGGAAGUCAUGUCCUGUGCUCUCUGUUCACAGAGUUUGAGAGAAACUGUAUUCAAGUUGCUGAAACCAAGAAGCUACACUCACGAGUCUCACCUAAACUCGAAUCUGAUUUAGAUGACAUCAUCCUGGACUUUGAGUUGAUGAAACCUUGGAGGUCUUGGGAGUAAAGCAAGUGUGAUUUGCAUAUGAUGGAUAUGAAUUGUAAUGGCCAGAGCAUGGCUGUGAGAUGAAAACUCCCAUUUUAGGGAACCAAGACUGAAUUCCAUAAUUUACAUGGAUGUUUGGAAGGUGUCUGCAACUUAAUCUGUGUUCGUUUCUGAGAUGUUGGGCAACUCCUUCUUGGAAGAUGUGGUAAUGGUCUCUUCGAAAAGAAAAUAAUCAUCUGAGUUUUGGCCAAAAUAGUUGAUCGGAUUACCUAUGAAAAUGACUCUCACCCAACUACAAGAAUGUUAUGAUGUAGAAACUCUAAAUAUAUGAGUAAUUAACUAUACAACACUCCAUCCCCAUGUGAAAAUCUUUAAUCUUUUAAGAUACUGAAAUUUUGUGUAUGUCUCAUAAUUUUCUGUAUAUGGUCAAUGAGUUUUGCCUUAGCCAUAAGUGGUCUGUCUGAAAUCUUCUCUAUUAUUUGUGCAUUUUCUUCCUGAUGUACCAAGCCUAGUCUGUUUGUUUUUUCCUAAGAGAAAAGCAGAUGAUUCAACUGUGUAUUUCUCAGUGUUGAUAUUGUGGUUUGAGGUAUUUCAUAAUCUUGAGUAAAAUCUUGUCAAUUUUAUGCUAUGCCUUGUGGGAACAUAUUUUUACUUUUAAGUCUCUUUGGCAAGUGGAGCUUCCUUUGUGUUUCCUCACCAAAUGUAUUCCCCAUUGUUUUCUGAUUAAUUCUUUUUCAGAAUGUUUACUCCUUCUUACCUCAAUGUCAUUACUUUUCAGUCUUGGCUUUGGGUAAACCUAGGACAAGAAUUGGAUAUCCAAAGCCAAUUUCAAUAUAAAAACUAUAAUAUCUAUCAAAAUCUAUGUAAAAUCCUGUGUAUAUUUCUCUUCUUUGUUGAACAGGGGCUUAUAAUCAUGUAGGUAAAUACACGUGGUUUUGAUUUCAGCACUGAUUACUGAAGAUUUGUCUUCCAUUCUUCUGGGCCAGGCCCAUACACAACCAUAGUUAGAAGUAAAAACUAUUUGUUAUACCUGGAAUGCCUUUCCUUUCAAUCUCUGAAUGUCUAAAAUUACUUUUUCUUUGAAGACCACCUCAGGUGACCCUACUGUGGGGAAAAUGCCUGAAUUAUCUUUGUAAUCCCAGCUCAGCCACUUAAAGAUUGUGUAAGUUUAGUGUCAGCAUAUUACUUAAGUUCUUUUAGAUUUAGUUUCCUCAUAUGUAAGCUGGGGAUAAUAAUACCUACCUCAUAGAAAAUGAAUGAGAAUCAAGUUAUAUAAUAUAUGAACAACACUUGACACUGUGUGUGAACACUCAAUACAUGUAAAUCAUUAUUAUUAGCAAAAUGAUUAUUAGGUUCUCAUGCUAAUCCACAAUUUUUAUUGGCAGAUAUCCAUUAGUUUAUAGUUAAUGUUAUUCAUAAUCUUUUCUUCAUAUUCAAAUAGGAAGAGAUGACUUCUCAAUCUAGUUAAUCCUGGAUGUGUAUUUCUCUUAAUUUAUUGAGUGUAAAAUGCUUAUUUAUAUACAUACAAUUUCCCUUAUUAGUGAACAUCUAGAAGGCAGAAUGGUACUUCAUUUCUUUCUGUAUGUUUAGCACCAAGGACAGUACCUGGCACAUAGAAGAUACAUAUUAAAAACAAAUAAAACAACUCUUAAUGGAUCUCAUUUUAAAAAAAUUCUCGGUUAAUUAUAAAGGCUCUAGUAAACCAAAUAAUUGUAUGUUAACUUAUUUACUUUUAUUACUGUGUUUAUUUUCUCCAACUGCUUCAUCAUACAAAGUAAACACCUGAAUGUAAGCUGCAUGAGGGCAAGAGCUGUGUCUUGUUUACUGCUCUCAAGAACAUUUGAGCAAAGUGCCUGGCACAUGGCAGACACUCAAUAAGUUACAAUUAAUACUCAAUGUAUGAACUGAUCUAUACUUAGAAUUGACUAAGAAGAAUAAGUCUUACACAGACUCAGUCUCUGAGAACUUGAAAAUCUAAGUUUGCAUAUCUCUGCUGUUGUGUUUUCAGGUUACUCAGUAGAAAACCAAGUUAUUUACACAUCCUCAAGUGUCUCAAGGUUAAAUCUUCCAUGCAUAAAAUAUCUGGGCGAUUGAUUGUGUUUCUUACUUUGCUCCUAAGUAUGUUAGCAUCAUAUAGGCAUAGCCUAAGCCAGACCAAAAUGAAUUCAUUGAUUGACUCAACAAAUGUUUAUGGAUCUCAGAUAUUAUAUGGAGAUGGUGUCAAACAACGGGAUGUGCUAUGGAAUUUGAUGUGGAGGCUGAAGGAAAGAGGAAUCUAGGCGGACUCACAGAUUUUUUGGCUUGAGUAACUUGGACAUUAUGGUGAGUUAUUGAACGGAAGUCUAGGGAUUGUUCAACCCCUGAAAACAGACCACAUCCCAUUGCAGGAGGAAAUUUGG
Molecule: long non-coding RNA, 3119 nt
Filed under: Homo sapiens (human)
Lineage: Eukaryota; Metazoa; Chordata; Mammalia; Primates; Hominidae
Description: HSALNT0142873
Source: RNAcentral